RNAcentral lists this ribosomal RNA (253 nucleotides) under uncultured bacterium. RNAcentral describes it as "partial 16S ribosomal RNA". It matches the Rfam family "Bacterial small subunit ribosomal RNA", at positions 524 to 776 of the family's 1533-position model. The record is from RNAcentral.
UACGUAGGUGGCAAGCGUUAUCCGGAAUUAUUGGGCGUAAAGCGCGCGCAGGUGGUUUCUUAAGUCUGGUGUGAAAGCCCACGGCUCAACCGUGGAGGGUCAUUGGAAACUGGGAGACUUGAGUGCAGAAGAGGAAAGUGGAAUUCCAUGUGUAGCGGUGAAAUGCGUAGAGAUAUGGAGGAACACCAGUGGCGAAGGCGACUUUCUGGUCUGUAACUGACACUGAGGCGCGAAAGCGUGGGGAGCAAACAGG